GGUGAGACUGGGUGUGACAGGGUGAGACUGGGUGAGACAGGGUGAUACUGGGUGAGACAGGGUGAGACUGGAUGAGACUGGGUGUGACAGGGCUAGACAGGGCAUGACAGGGCGAGACAGGGUGAGAAGGUGUGACAGGGUGAGACUAGGUGAGAAGGUGUGACGGGGUGAGACUAGGUGUGACAGGGUGAGACUGGGUGUGACAGGGUGAGACUGGGUGUGACAGGGUGAGACAGGGUGAGACUGGGUGUGACAGGGCUAGACAGGGCAUGACAGGGCGAGACAGGGUGAGACUAGGUGUGACAGGGUGAGACAGGGUGUGACAGGGUGAGACUGGGUGAGAAGGUGUGACAGGGUGAGACUGAGUGUGACAGGGUGAGACUGGGUGUGACAGGGUGAGACUGGGUGAGAAGGUGUGACAGGGUGAGACUGAGUGUGACAGGGUGAGACUGAGUGUGACAGGGUGAGACAGGGUGAGAAGGUGUGACAGGGUGAGACUAGGUGUGACAGGGUGAGACAGGGUGAGACUAGGUGUGACAGGGUGAGACAGGGUGGGACAGGGUGAGACUGGGUGAGAAGGUGUGACAGGGUGAGACUAGGUGUGACAGGGUGAGACUAGGUGUGACAGGGUGAGACUGGGUGUGACAGGGUGAGACUGGGUGUGACAGGGUGAGACUAGGUGAGAUCGGGUGAGACAGGGUGUGACAG
Long non-coding RNA from Oncorhynchus tshawytscha (Chinook salmon), 708 nucleotides. The record is from Ensembl. Lineage: Eukaryota; Metazoa; Chordata; Actinopteri; Salmoniformes; Salmonidae.